This 405-nucleotide unclassified non-coding RNA is filed under the name Pseudognaphalium sandwicensium. RNAcentral describes it as "partial external transcribed spacer". The stretch from base 354 to 405 matches the Rfam family "Eukaryotic small subunit ribosomal RNA", at positions 1 to 52 of the family's 1831-position model. The record is from RNAcentral. Lineage: Eukaryota; Viridiplantae; Streptophyta; Magnoliopsida; Asterales; Asteraceae.
AACUUCCACCUGGCAUACCUCUUCAGUCUUGUGUCAAUGCUUGUAUUGCAUUGAAUGCACGGUGGGUUUCUUGUGUUGCAUACCUAAUUUAAUGGUAUUGCUUGAUGUAUUGGUUUUCCUUUCGUUUUGCAUUGCCUAUGCGAUGUGAGAUGAACCUUGAAGCAGCCUUUGUGAUCCACUGAUUUGAUGUAUAUGCAUUGAUUUUGUGGCCCAUUGAGUGUUGCUCGGUCUCAUGGAUAUGGAACCUGGUGUGGGCAUGGAAUCUUAAUGGUUCCUUGUUUGCCCAAGUUUAGCUUUUCUAAAACGAUUGUCUAUCAUGUGUUAACAUGCUAGACUACUUCGGAUAUGAAUGCUACCUGGUUGAUCCUGCCAGUAGUCAUAUGCUUGUCUCAAAGAUUAAGCCAU